Molecule: ribosomal RNA, 627 nt
Filed under: Exiguobacterium profundum
Lineage: Bacteria; Bacillati; Bacillota; Bacilli; Caryophanales
Description: bacterial SSU rRNA
Rfam family: Bacterial small subunit ribosomal RNA
Source: RNAcentral
CCCCCGUAACCAUAGUGUAGUUUUGAGGUUUCGCCCUUAGUGCGAACUUACGCAUAAACACUCCGCUUGGGAGUACGGUCGCAAGCUAAACUCAAAGGAAUGACGGGACCGCACAACGUUGAGCAUGUGGUUUAUUCGAAGCAACGCGAAGAACCUUCCACUCUUGACAUCCCCUGACGGUACAGAGAUGUACCUUCCCUCGGGGCAGGGUGACAGGUGGUGCAUGGUUGUCGUCAGCUCGUGUCGUGAGAUUUGGGUUAAGUCCCGCAACGAGCGCAACCCUUGUCCUUAGUUCCAGCAUUUGGUUGGGCACUCUAGGGAGACUGCCGGUGACAAACCGGAGGAAGGUGGGGAUGACGUCAAAUCAUCAUGCCCCUUAUGAGUUGGGCUACACACGUGCUACAAUGGACGGUACAAAGGGCAGCGAAGCCGCGAGGUGGAGCCAAUCCCAGAAAGCCGUUCUCAGUUCGGAUGCAGGCUGCAACUCGCCUGCAUGAAGUCGGAAUCGCUAGUAAUCGCAGGUCAGCAUACUGCGGUGAAUACGUUCCCGGGUCUUGUACACACCGCCCGUCACACCACGAGAGUUUGCAACACCCGAAGUCGGUGAGGUAAGCCGUAAGCACCCAG